This is a small nucleolar RNA of Dioscorea cayenensis subsp. rotundata (Guinea yam), 106 nucleotides long. The record is from RefSeq and is a predicted model, not a curated record. NCBI's taxonomy places the organism in Eukaryota, Viridiplantae, Streptophyta, Magnoliopsida, Dioscoreales, Dioscoreaceae.
AUCCCAUGAGAUGGAAUUUCCUCAACAUUUCCUUGUAUCGCUCCCACGCGUCAUACAAAGAUUCAAACUCUAGUUGAACAAAGGAUGAGAUGUCAUUCCUAAACUU